RNAcentral lists this ribosomal RNA (660 nucleotides) under uncultured Bacteroidota bacterium. RNAcentral's name for it is "bacterial SSU rRNA". It matches the Rfam family "Bacterial small subunit ribosomal RNA", at positions 257 to 916 of the family's 1533-position model. Lineage: Bacteria; Pseudomonadati; Bacteroidota. The record is from RNAcentral.
GUAACGGCUCACCAAGGCUGCGAUGUCUAGGGGUUCUGAGAGGAUUCACCCCCACACUGGUACUGAGACACGGACCAGACUCCUACGGGAGGCAGCAGUAAGGAAUAUUGGUCAAUGGACGCAAGUCUGAACCAGCCAUGCCGCGUGCAGGAAGACAGCCCUACGGGUUGUAAACUGCUUUUGUACGGGAAAAAACCUCCGGUCGUGCACCGGAGCUGAUGGUACCGUAAGAAUAAGCAUCGGCUAACUCCGUGCCAGCAGCCGCGGUAAUACGGAGGAUGCAAGCGUUAUCCGGAUUCAUUGGGUUUAAAGGGUGCGCAGGCGGAAUGAUCAGUCAGUGGUGAAAUCCUACGGCUUAACCGUAGAACUGCCAUUGAUACUGUCAUUCUUGAGUAUAAUUGACGUGGGCGGAAUGUGUCAUGUAGCGGUGAAAUGCUUAGAUAUGACACAGAACACCGAUCGCGAAGGCAGCUCACAAAGCUAUAACUGACGCUCAGGCACGAAAGCGUGGGGAUCAAACAGGAUUAGAUACCCUGGUAGUCCACGCCGUAAACGAUGAUUACUCGAUGUUGGCGAUACACUGUCAGCGUCUGAACGAAAGUAUUAAGUAAUCCACCUGGGGAGUACGGUCGCAAGACUGAAACUCAAAUGAAUUGACGG